UACGUAGGGUGCAAGCGUUGUCCGGAAUUAUUGGGCGUAAAGGGCUCGUAGGCGGUUUGUCACGUCGGGAGUGAAAACUCGGGGCUUAACCCCGAGCCUGCUUCCGAUACGGGCAGACUAGAGGUAUGCAGGGGAGAACGGAAUUCCUGGUGUAGCGGUGAAAUGCGUAGAUAUCGGAAGGAACAUCAGUGGCGAAAGCGGCUUCCUGGACCAGCACCGACGUUCAGGCACGAAAGCGUGGGGAGCAAACAGG
Molecule: ribosomal RNA, 253 nt
Filed under: uncultured bacterium
Lineage: Bacteria
Description: partial 16S ribosomal RNA
Rfam family: Bacterial small subunit ribosomal RNA
Source: RNAcentral